Molecule: non-coding RNA, 81 nt
Filed under: uncultured Ruminiclostridium sp.
Lineage: Bacteria; Bacillati; Bacillota; Clostridia; Eubacteriales; Oscillospiraceae
Description: pemK RNA
Rfam family: pemK RNA
Source: RNAcentral
ACAAUGAUACUUCUGUCCAGUCACAGUCUCAAGCAAUGAGGGCAGCCACAUGAGAACCAUGCGGGGGUGAGAGUCCCAUGA